CCAGACAAAUACAUCAGCUCUUGGUAUACUCAUAAAACCGGUAGAAGGUGGGACAGGUUCUGCGUGAGAAUAUGUGUUACCUGUAAGGACUAGGUGUAGGGGUAGUGUGUGUGUGUUACCUGUAAGGACUAGGUGUAGGGGUAGUGUGUGCGUGUUACCUGUAAGGACUAGGUGUAGGGGUAGUGUGUGUGUGUUACCUGUAAGGACUAGGUGUAGGGGUAGUGUGUGUGUGUUACCUGUAAGGACUAGGUGUAGGGGUAGUGUGUGUGUGUUACCUGUAAGGACUAGGUGUAGGGGUAGUGUGUGUGUGUUACCUGUAAGGACUAGGUGUAGGGGUAGUGUGUGUGUGUUACCUGUAAGGACUAGGUGUAGGGGUAGUGUGUGUGUGUUACCUGUAAGGACUAGGUGUAGGGGUAGUGUGUGUGUGUUACCUGUAAGGACUAGGUGUAGGGGUAGUGUGUGUGUGUUACCUGUAAGGACUAGGUGUAGGGGUAGUGUGUGUGUGUUACCUGUAAGGACUAGAUGUAGGGGUAGUGUGUGUGUGUUACCUGUAAGGACUAGGUGUAGGGGUAGUGUGUGUGUGUUACCUGUAAGGACUAGGUGUAGGGGUAGUGUGUGUGUGUUACCUGUAAGGACUAGAUGUAGGGGUAGUGUGUGU
Long non-coding RNA from Oncorhynchus keta (chum salmon), 658 nucleotides. RefSeq lists it as uncharacterized. The record is from RefSeq and is a predicted model, not a curated record. Lineage: Eukaryota; Metazoa; Chordata; Actinopteri; Salmoniformes; Salmonidae. The transcript has 4 exons.